GACAGCAAAUAGACACGCUAGGUGUCUCAACUUGAGGAGAUGUGUAAUACAUGAAUCUACAUCUCAACUAGAGGAGAUGUGUAAUACAUACUCAGGUCUUGAAACAGAGAGAUGAGGGUGGUUGUUCUCCGCCAAUGCUCGUCGGAAAGGCGGCGCCGCCGUGGGAGGCGACGACGGUGAGCCCCGGCGGUGAACGAACGAGAGAGGGAGAGAGAGGCAAGAGAGAUAGAACGACGAGGGAGAGAAGGAGGGCCGACGCCCCUCGCCGGCGACGACUCCGGCAGCCGUAACCCGAGUUUCAAUCUGGUAAAGCUUUCAACUUCUUUUUAUUUACUAACAAGAAUUUAUAUAAACACCUUCAAGAAAGCUAAUCAUACCAGUAACAAUGGUGGUAAGACCAGAUCCAUUGAAGAUCAACUGGGUUAUUCUUUGACGG
Molecule: long non-coding RNA, 436 nt
Organism: Helianthus annuus (common sunflower)
Lineage: Eukaryota; Viridiplantae; Streptophyta; Magnoliopsida; Asterales; Asteraceae
Exons: 2
Source: RefSeq, a predicted model, not a curated record